ACUCUAAGCGGUGGAUCACUCGGCUCAUGGGUCGAUGAAGAACGCAGCAAACUGUGCGUCAUCGUGUGAACUGCAGGACACAUGAACAUCGACAUUUUGAACGCAUAUCGCAGUCCAUGCUGUUAUGUACUUUAAUUAAUUUUAUAGUGCUGCUUGGACUACAUAUGGUUGAGGGUUGUAAGACUAUGCUAAUUAAGUUGCUUAUAAAUUUUUAUAAGCAUAUGGUAUAUUAUUGGAUAAAUAUAAUAAUUUUUAUUCAUAAUAUUAAAAAAUAAAUGAAAAACAUUAUCUCACAUUUGAAUGUGAAAAACGAAGAGAAAUAUUUUCUUUUUCAAUCAAAUAAUACUGAGAAAUGUCUAGCAUAAAAAAUUGAAAUAUUUUUCAUCUAGAAUUGUCUCUUAUUAAUGAUUCGGAAAUAGAAAAAUCUUGGUUAUGUUAUUAUUCUUCGUUGGUUCGUUAAAAAUGGAUAAAUAAAAACUUUGCAUACAAGAAUUAAUAAAAAUGUUAUAACGAAUUUAAUUAAAUGUUUUAUCAUUAUAUAUAAAGAAUUUAUGGCAAGAUAAAGUUAUAUACAACCUCAACUCAUAUGGGACUACCCCCUGAAUUUAAGCAUAUUAAUUAGGGGAGGAAAAGAAACUAACAAGGAUUUUCUUAGUAGCGGCGAGCGAAAAGAAAACAGUUCAGCACUAAGUCACUUUGUCUAUAUGGCAAAUGUGAGAUGCAGUGUAUGGAGCGUCAAUAUUCUAGUAUGAGAAAUUAACGAUUUAAGUCCUUCUUAAAUGAGGCCAUUUACCCAUAGAGGGUGCCAGGCCCGUAUAACGUUAAUGAUUACUAGAUGAUGUUUCCAAAGAGUCGUGUUGCUUGAUAGUGCAGCACUAAGUGGGUGGUAAACUCCAUCUAAAACUAAAUAUAACCAUGAGACCGAUAGUAAACAAGUACCGUGAGGGAAAGUUGAAAAGAACUCUGAAUAGAGAGUUAAACAGUACGUGAAACUGCUUAGAGGUUAAGCCCGAUGAACCUGAAUAUCCGUUAUGGAAAAUUCAUCAUUAAAAUUGUAAUAUUUAAAUAAUAUUAUGAGAAUAGUGUGCAUUUUUUCCAUAUAAGGACAUUGUAAUCUAUUAGCAUAUACCAAAUUUAUCAUAAAAUAUAACUUAUAGUUUAUUCCAAUUAAAUUGCUUGCAUUUUAACACAGAAUAAAUGUUAUUAAUUUGAUAAAGUGCUGAUAGAUUUAUAUGAUUACAGUGCGUUAAUUUUUCGGAAUUAUAUAAUGGCAUAAUUAUCAUUGAUUUUUGUGUUUAUUAUAUGCACUUGUAUGAUUAACAAUGCGAAAGAUUCAGGAUACCUUCGGGACCCGUCUUGAAACACGGACCAAGGAGUCUAACAUAUGUGCAAGUUAUUGGGAUAUAAACCUAAUAGCGUAAUUAACUUGACUAAUAAUGGGAUUAGUUUUUUAGCUAUUUAUAGCUAAUUAACACAAUCCCGGGGCGUUCUAUAUAGUUAUGUAUAAUGUAUAUUUAUAUUAUUUAUGCCUCUAACUGGAACGUACCUUGAGCAUAUAUGCUGUGACCCGAAAGAUGGUGAACUAUACUUGAUCAGGUUGAAGUCAGGGGAAACCCUGAUGGAAGACCGAAACAGUUCUGACGUGCAAAUCGAUUGUCAGAAUUGAGUAUAGGGGCGAAAGACCAAUCGAACCAUCUAGUAGCUGGUUCCUUCCGAAGUUUCCCUCAGGAUAGCUGGUGCAUUUUAAUAUUAUAUAAAAUAAUCUUAUCUGGUAAAGCGAAUGAUUAGAGGCCUUAGGGUCGAAACGAUCUUAACCUAUUCUCAAACUUUAAAUGGGUAAGAACCUUAACUUUCUUGAUAUGAAGUUCAAGGUUAUGAUAUAAUGUGCCCAGUGGGCCACUUUUGGUAAGCAGAACUGGCGCUGUGGGAUGAACCAAACGUAAUGUUACGGUGCCCAAAUUAACAACUCAUGCAGAUACCAUGAAAGGCGUUGGUUGCUUAAAACAGCAGGACGGUGAUCAUGGAAGUCGAAAUCCGCUAAGGAGUGUGUAACAACUCACCUGCCGAAGCAACUAGCCCUUAAAAUGGAUGGCGCUUAAGUUGUAUACCUAUACAUUACCGCUAAAGUAGAUGAUUUAUAUUACUUGUGAUAUAAAUUUUGAAACUUUAGUGAGUAGGAAGGUACAAUGGUAUGCGUAGAAGUGUUUGGCGUAAGCCUGCAUGGAGCUGCCAUUGGUACAGAUCUUGGUGGUAGUAGCAAAUAAUCGAAUGAGACCUUGGAGGACUGAAGUGGAGAAGGGUUUCGUGUGAACAGUGGUUGAUCACGAGUUAGUCGGUCCUAAGUUCAAGGCGAAAGCCGAAAAUUUUCAAGUAAAACAAAAAUGCCUAACUAUAUAAACAAAGCGAAUUAUAAUACACUUGAAUAAUUUUGAACGAAAGGGAAUACGGUUCCAAUUCCGUAACCUGUUGAGUAUCCGUUUGUUAUUAAAUAUGGGCCUCGUGCUCAUCCUGGCAACAGGAACGACCAUAAAGAAGCCGUCGAGAGAUAUCGGAAGAGUUUUCUUUUCUGUUUUAUAGCCGUACUACCAUGGAAGUCUUUCGCAGAGAGAUAUGGUAGAUGGGCUAGAAGAGCAUGACAUAUACUGUUGUGUCGAUAUUUUCUCCUCGGACCUUGAAAAUUUAUGGUGGGGACACGCAAACUUCUCAACAGGCCGUACCAAUAUCCGCAGCUGGUCUCCAAGGUGAAGAGUCUCUAGUCGAUAGAAUAAUGUAGGUAAGGGAAGUCGGCAAAUUAGAUCCGUAACUUCGGGAUAAGGAUUGGCUCUGAAGAUUGAGAUAGUCGGGCUUGAUUGGGAAACAAUAACAUGGUUUAUGUGCUCGUUCUGGGUAAAUAGAGUUUCUAGCAUUUAUGUUAGUUACUUGUUCCCCGGAUAGUUUAGUUACGUAGCCAAUUGUGGA
RNAcentral lists this ribosomal RNA (2958 nucleotides) under Drosophila melanogaster (fruit fly). Its description in RNAcentral is "eukaryotic LSU rRNA". The stretch from base 573 to 2958 matches the Rfam family "Eukaryotic large subunit ribosomal RNA", at positions 1 to 2088 of the family's 3401-position model. The record is from RNAcentral. Lineage: Eukaryota; Metazoa; Arthropoda; Insecta; Diptera; Drosophilidae.